UUUUAAAGAGAGUUUGAUCCUGGCUCAGGACGAACGCUGGCGGCGUGCCUAAUACAUGCAAGUCGAACGAACGGAGGAAGAGCUUGCUCUUCCAAAGUU
This 99-nucleotide ribosomal RNA is filed under the name Listeria monocytogenes. Its description in RNAcentral is "partial 16S ribosomal RNA". It matches the Rfam family "Bacterial small subunit ribosomal RNA", at positions 1 to 92 of the family's 1533-position model. The record is from RNAcentral. Lineage: Bacteria; Bacillati; Bacillota; Bacilli; Caryophanales; Listeriaceae.